Molecule: ribosomal RNA, 369 nt
Filed under: uncultured bacterium
Lineage: Bacteria
Description: bacterial SSU rRNA
Rfam family: Bacterial small subunit ribosomal RNA
Source: RNAcentral
GUAGGGUGCGAGCGUUAAUCGGAAUUACUGGGCGUAAAGCGUGCGCAGGCGGUCCGCAAAGUCUGAUGUGAAAGCCCCGGGCUCAACCUGGGAACUGCAUUGGAAACUAACGGGCUCGAGUGUGGCAGAGGGGGGUGGAAUUCCACGUGUAGCAGUGAAAUGCGUAGAGAUGUGGAGGAACACCGAUGGCGAAGGCAGCCCCCUGGGCUAACACUGACGCUCAGGCACGAAAGCGUGGGGAGCAAACAGGAUUAGAUACCCUGGUAGUCCACGCCCUAAACGAUGUCAACUGGGUGUUGGGGGAGCGAUUCCUCAGUACCGUAGCUAACGCGUGAAGUUGACCGCCUGGGGAGUACGGCCGCAAGGUUA